Molecule: long non-coding RNA, 570 nt
Filed under: Gallus gallus (chicken)
Lineage: Eukaryota; Metazoa; Chordata; Aves; Galliformes; Phasianidae
Description: lncRNA (ENSGALG00010007094.1)
Source: RNAcentral
GGGGAGCUCAGGUGCAUGCAAAGAACCUGAGUGACCAGAAUAGAUGGAGCCAGGAUCCACCCCUUCCUAGACCUCAUUUAAGAAUUGGCAGUGGAGAUAGGGGUGUUUUGCUGGAGGUUCCUCUCUCUUGUACUGGUGGCCUUCUAGAGUAGUUCACUGGACCUAACUACAACUCCAUGGAGGGAAGAGCACCAUUCCCAGUGGGUUGUGGAGUACUGCUGAAAUGCCCAGGUAACAGCUGCAGCGAAUGCAGCUGCAUGCAGAUAUUUUUGUCUCCAGUGCUCCAGAGAAUUACCUUGCCGACAGCAAGUCCAUCCAAAAUUCUCCCAUUACAUUCUUCUUACAACAUAAUUACUACAUUCUUGGAAAUGCACUGCAGAAAUGGAUGAUCAAGUGCAGCCUGAGGACUGGGUUGGAAAGAAAUGGAGUGAUGACAGAAAAGGAAAGUGGGAAAGAUAACUUUUAUUCUGUAUACAAUAAAUAAUACUGUGUUUACUUGCACUUAGCUUUGAUUUCUCCACUAUAGUAAUGGAGACUGUAGAAACUAGAAAUUAAAGAAAUCUUUCUCUG